GACACACGGCGGGUGCUAACGUCCGUCGUGAAGAGGGAAACAACCCAGACCGCCAGCUAAGGUCCCAAAGUCAUGGUUAAGUGGGAAACGAUGUGGGAAGGCACAGACAGCCAGGAUGUUGGCUUAGAAGCAGCCAUCAUUUAAAGAAAGCGUAAUAGCUCACUGGUCGAGUCGGCCUGCGCGGAAGAUGUAACGGGGCUAAACCAUGCACCGAAGCUGCGGCAGCGACACUAUGUGUUGUUGGGUAGGGGAGCGUUCUGUAAGCCUGCGAAGGUGGCCUGUGAGGGCUGCUGGAGGUAUCAGAAGUGCGAAUGCUGACAUAAGUAACGAUAAAGCGGGUGAAAAGCCCGCUCGCCGGAAGACCAAGGGUUCCUGUCCAACGUUAAUCGGGGCAGGGUGAGUCGACCCCUAAGGCGAGGCCGAAAGGCGUAGUCGAUGGGAAACAGGUUAAUAUUCCUGUACUUGGUGUUACUGCGAAGGGGGGACGGAGAAGGCUAUGUUAGCCGGGCGACGGUUGUCCCGGUUUAAGCAUGUAGGCGGAGGUUCCAGGUAAAUCCGGUACCUUUUAACGCUGAGGUGUGAUGACGAGGCACUACGGUGCUGAAGUAACAAAUGCCCUGCUUCCAGGAAAAGC
Molecule: ribosomal RNA, 634 nt
Filed under: Klebsiella variicola
Lineage: Bacteria; Pseudomonadati; Pseudomonadota; Gammaproteobacteria; Enterobacterales; Enterobacteriaceae
Description: partial 23S ribosomal RNA
Rfam family: Bacterial large subunit ribosomal RNA
Source: RNAcentral